UACGUAGGCGGAAAUCUAAGUCAGUGGUGAAAUCCCGCAGCUCAACUGUGGAGCUGUCAUUGAUACUGGUUUUCUUGAAUAUAGUUGAGGUAGGCGGAAUGUGUAAUGUAGCGGUGAAAUGCUUAGAUAUUACACAGAACACCGAUUGCGAAGGCAGCUUACUAAGCUAUGAUUGACGCUGAGGUACGAAAGCGUGGGGAGCGAACAGGAUUAGAUACCCUGGUAGUCC
RNAcentral lists this ribosomal RNA (229 nucleotides) under uncultured bacterium. RNAcentral's name for it is "partial 16S ribosomal RNA". It matches the Rfam family "Bacterial small subunit ribosomal RNA", at positions 568 to 796 of the family's 1533-position model. The record is from RNAcentral.